Molecule: non-coding RNA, 952 nt
Organism: Nicotiana tabacum (common tobacco)
Lineage: Eukaryota; Viridiplantae; Streptophyta; Magnoliopsida; Solanales; Solanaceae
Source: RefSeq, a predicted model, not a curated record
UUGUCCGCCAUGGUUGCGUCUUCAAGAUCUUGCCACUGCGUCCGUUGCUUUGCUUCUUCUUCCUAGUCACAUGCUGCCCGCCAUGGCUGCAUCUACAGCUCUUCAAAAUGAUCAAAAUAUCCCAUCACUGAUGUCCGUCAUGGCUGCGUCUCCAAGCUCUUCAAACGAGCACGAGAUCCCGUCGUAUUGUUGCCCGUUGUUUCUUCUUCUCCACUGUCGCUGCUUUCGUUGUUGCCAUGGCUGCGUCUGUGUUGCAGCUACUCGUUGCUUCUGUUUCUUCCAACUUCGUCAUCGUCCAUGGCUGCAGCUACUCGUCGCGGCCGCUGCUGCGUUUCGUCGCUAUUGCUGCUGCCCGUUGCUUCGUUUCUUCCAGCUUUAGCGUUGCUGCCCGCUGCUUCUUCUUCUUCACCACCUUGUUGUCGUGCCGCUAAUGUUUCAGCAGCGUGGCUGCUACUGCAUCAGCAGCACGCUGCUACUGCUUCAGUUCCCAUUGUCGCCAAACGCCCCUCCGUCAAGCUUCAUCUAUUGUUUAAGUUUCCGGGCAGAUUCGAGUCAUUUUGAUGCAAUAAUUGUUUCCGGACAGAUUUGUUUCCGGUCGAGUUCGUCGUCGCUUCGAUCCGGUACACUACUCUGAAUCAUUUCAACAUAUGUAUUGAAGAUGAAAUGAAAUGGCCGGAAGAUUUAAGGUUUUUUUUAAUUAUAGAAUAUUCGCAUUUUAGUUAAAUAUUCAUUAUGUGUCUCAUGUUAUGUAAAUGGUAGAAGUAUUUAUUAUGUGAAGUAUUAAACUGCGGGACUAGUGGAUGGGUGUCAGUAUGAACACCAUAAGUAUUAGUUUCGGCUUUGUUAAAUUUUUAGCUUAAAAUCACAUUCAAAUCGUUAGUAAAUAUUCAAUACGGGAAACCGACUUAAUUUGAGGGAAGGUUAGUAAACUCUAGAUUUGAAUUUGCAAAUU